GGAGAUGAGGGUGAUUUGGCUUGAACAUCUGUCAUCAAAUUGAUAGCUGGGUUUGAUCCUGCAUGGUGGGCUGAGCUAUAGUGCCAUCCCCCUUCACCAGUCCUCAAGCAUCCUUCCUAAGUUUGCACGCCGGGUCUAAGGUCCCAAGGAAUGGAAAAUCUUUUUCCUAUCAAGGAUACUCAAGAAUGAGGCAUUUCAUGGGGACAAACCACUCUCUGAAAUCUAUAAGAACCAAUGUUAAAGUUCUUUGACCUGUU
This is an unclassified non-coding RNA of 257 nucleotides. Its record names the gene 7SK. It matches the Rfam family "7SK RNA". Rfam says of the family: 7SK was discovered as an abundant small nuclear RNA in the mid-70s but a possible function has only recently been suggested. Two independent studies have found that 7SK RNA binds the CDK9/cyclin T complex (known as elongation factor P-TEFb). P-TEFb activates transcription by phosphorylating the C-terminal domain of RNA polymerase II. The record is from Ensembl.